Molecule: ribosomal RNA, 220 nt
Filed under: uncultured bacterium
Lineage: Bacteria
Description: partial 16S ribosomal RNA
Rfam family: Bacterial small subunit ribosomal RNA
Source: RNAcentral
UACGGAGGGUGCAAGCGUUAUCCGGAUUCACUGGGUUAAAGGGUGCGUAGGUGGGCAGGUAAGUCAGUGGUGAAAUCUCCGGGCUUAACUCGGAAACUGCCAUUGAUACUAUCUGUCUUGAAUACCGUUGGAGGUCAGCGGAAUAUGUCAUGUAGCGGUGAAAUGCGCAGAUAUCGGGAAGAACACCCGUGGCGAAGGCGGCUCUCUGGAACGCACUGAC